AUGAGAAUACUCACGUGUGCUCUUUCUACUAACAUGACAUGGUAAGGAAAAUCUCCUUGAGAUAAGUGAACGACUGUGACUUUGGAAGAAUGCAGAAAAACAGUGUUGGUGGCUGAUCAGUGCUGAGCUGAUACAGAUUGAUACAGACUGCAGCAACUUCUUGAAGAACCUACUGAUAACUAUAGGGGAAAAAGAAAAAUACCAAGAGAAGGUUACUGUAUUUAAGCAUGUCAAGCGUCAAUCUUAUAUACAUAAGACAUUCCUUUGGAUCCUUUCUCUACAAAACUGCUACUUCUACAAUCUUCAGAUGAAGGAACUUCAAGAGGGGGAUUGCCCUGCUGUUUACCAAACACGUGUUAUCAGCAGGGAGGAACAAUUAAGCUGGCUUAAGGCUUCUGCCAAUUACUGUCCGUUUUACUCUGAGCAUCCAAAGGAACAAGUUUUGCUUGAUUACCCAAGGAAACAUGUCCUGCUGUUUUCUCCCUAAAAAAUAAAUUGCAAACCCAAACAAAUCUGAUAUAGAGC
Molecule: long non-coding RNA, 525 nt
Filed under: Chrysolophus pictus (golden pheasant)
Lineage: Eukaryota; Metazoa; Chordata; Aves; Galliformes; Phasianidae
Description: lncRNA (ENSCPIG00010004443.1)
Source: RNAcentral